RNAcentral lists this unclassified non-coding RNA (335 nucleotides) under soil metagenome. RNAcentral's name for it is "partial contains 5.8S ribosomal RNA, internal transcribed spacer 2, and large subunit ribosomal RNA". The stretch from base 1 to 120 matches the Rfam family "5.8S ribosomal RNA", at positions 35 to 154 of the family's 154-position model. The record is from RNAcentral.
GAUGAAGAACGUAGCGAAAUGCGAUAAGUAAUGUGAAUUGCAGAAUUCAGUGAAUCAUCGAAUCUUUGAACGCACAUUGCGCCCGCCAGUAUUCUGGCGGGCAUGCCUGUUCGAGCGUCAUUUCAACCAUCAAGCCCCCGGCUUGUGUUGGGGACCUGCGGCUGCCGCAGGCCCUGAAAACCAGUGGCGGGCUCGCUAGUCACUCCGAGCGUAGUAAUACAUCUCGCUCAGGGCGUGCUGCGGGUUCCGGCCGUUAAAAAGCCUUAUUUACCCAAGGUUGACCUCGGAUCAGGUAGGACUACCCGCUGAACUUAAGCAUAUCAAUAAGCGGAGGA